RNAcentral lists this transfer RNA (93 nucleotides) under Metschnikowia bicuspidata. It matches the Rfam family "tRNA". Rfam says of the family: Transfer RNA (tRNA) molecules are approximately 80 nucleotides in length. Lineage: Eukaryota; Fungi; Ascomycota; Pichiomycetes; Serinales; Metschnikowiaceae. The record is from Rfam by way of RNAcentral.
GUUACAGUGGCCGAGUGGUUAAGGCGACACCCUGCUACUUCGCAGCUUAGGUGUUGGGUUCUGCCUGCGCAGGUUCGAAUCCUGCCUGUAACG